Ceratitis capitata (Mediterranean fruit fly) is the source of this 1734-nucleotide long non-coding RNA. RefSeq lists it as uncharacterized. The record is from RefSeq and is a predicted model, not a curated record. The transcript has 4 exons. Lineage: Eukaryota; Metazoa; Arthropoda; Insecta; Diptera; Tephritidae.
UCACUCGGAACAAAUUUCAAUAAACUAAAAAAAAAAAAAAUUAACAUACAUUAGAAUCGUCAAAAAAAUUAAUAACCAGAUUCCUAAAAAAGAAAAAGAUCCCUUUUUAGCUAGGGCUUUUUAGAAUCAGAGCGAAAACAAGAUACAACGAAGCUGUAUAAAUAGAUUUAAAGACGUUAAGCUUCGAGGAAAAGACUACAAAAAACCAACACAAAUAACGCAAAAAUGCGACACAAUAAACGAACGAGCCAUAGCAACAACAAGAAUAUAUCGCGGCUAUUGCUACUAUGUCUACCAACAGUCUCAAAACACGUCACUACGGCAGCCAGACGUUUGCGUCUACAUUUAGCUUAGAGCGUAUAACCUGUCGCCGCUGACGCACCCUCCGCCACGGUUGCGAAGGAUAGUUAUUUGCCUGCCUAUCGCUGAAAAACAAAUCGCAAUAGCAACAGAAGCCAACGCACCACCUGCGAUGAUACCUACAGCUACGGCACCUGUGCCAGGACUGGUCUAGUUGAUCAACACCACCGCUGAUGCUGCUCUUGCAACUAACGAUAAUACAAGGCAUCGGACAGAAUCUGUGGUAGGCAAUGGCAAUAAUGGCUCAAAGGCAAAACAUUUCAUUGACAAGUCGGCAGCCAAUGAUGCGGAGAGCGUCCAAAAACAGGUUGCUGCUAAUUCAGCGGACACGCCGGCGGCACUCUACUCAGCAACCACGGCUGCAGUAGCCACCGCGGAAUUUUGGAUUCACCGGAACACAACGUCGCUGCUGAAGAGACUCAAUUCCCGAAGGAACAGAAGGAAUUGCGGACAAAGAUUGGUGAUGAGGACAUUGACACGUUGGAUGAUGGCAACAAUGUUGGCACUGCCAGCGGCUGACAAGGUAACACGCUUGAGAAAUCUGAUCCGGAGUUGAUUGGCUUCGAAAUUUUGACAGGGCGCCCUCACCCAAUCACAAUUCCCUGUCUUCACAAUUUAUGCACGAAAACCAUGUUUCAGCGUGCGGCCAUGUGCACGUGCCUGGUGUAUUGCCAGUGGUUUCGCGACUUGAUUGUUUGGAGCUAUAUUUAGGAGAAAACGAAUGCACAUGCCGAUUGACCAACUUUUAUCGCUGCGUAAAAUCUUGAGAACUCUCCGAAAGGAUCGCAUUACCCUGACCGGGGCUCACGCAUUCUAGACGCACGCUGUUGUUGAAUAUCUCGAGAGUAACUACGAUGAUAAGCCGAUGAAGACCUUGGAUUCGGUCUAUAAGGAUUCUGGCAGCAUUCAUGAGUGUCGUGAUCUAUGUUUGAGUCCGCCAUUCAGGUAAACAUGGCAGCGUAAAUAGACAAAAGGAAGAAAUAAAUAGUUGAGACGAACGGACACUACACAUUUAGUUGGUAAUAAGUGACGGAAAAAAAUAUGAAGGUAAUAAAACUAGAAGAGGAUUGUUCACCGGAUAUAACCUUAGCUAAUCAUACGGAGAUAUACCAGUUCGGUUAUCAACUGAAGUCAAGUCGCUUGUUGCAGUAUCUUGAAGUUGUAGCACAGCUGCUCUGCAUACGCGAAUUACCAAUGCUUGGCGGCAAUGUAUUGGCAUGUCAACAGCGAAGAUGCUAAUGUUAGGCGCAUUUCAUUGACGAUACAUCUGGGUAAUGGCACUACAUACCGAUGAAAAGCUUUUGUAGUUAAAUUCAAAUUAUGGGGAAAGCUUUAUCCAAGCGGAAAGCUUAGCAGGUAGGUCAAAAUAUGUGU